AACGUCUUCUGAAAUCGAAAAACGAUAGGUUUAAAACCGACUUUGUCAUUUCGACACAGAAAAAACAAAAAGCAAUGGAGGACAGCUGGUGGGUGGCCAAUUUAAAGGCUCUGGAGUCGAGGCCACAACGCCUCGAGGCCCUGACCACGAUGAACACGACCAUCGCAAAGGAGGCGGCUCUUUCGCGGCAAAUCAUUGAACGCCUGCUGACCACGGCGGAGUUGUAUGACUGCGCCAAUUCCGCGGCGGAUUCGCAGGUUCCCAAGGAUCAGGCUGUGGACGUGACCCUGGACUUGCUGGGCCACUGCCUUGAUCAGCUGGCAAUGGACACCGCCGACGAGCAGCUGCCCAGUUUGCUGAGACGUGGCUUGACCCACCCGAAUCCCGCCUUGCGUGCCCUGGUGUUGGCCAGGUUGCUCAAGGAGCUGCGCCGCCAGUUGGCAGCCGGGCAGGUUCGCACUCUGCCCAACAAUGAGCUUAUUUUCCUCAUCUUGGACGAGCUGAAACAGCCGAAUACGGAGGGCACCUCGCUGGCCAUCAAUAUACUGUCCAUUGUGCUUGUUCAGCGGCUCAGCGAUGCCGAUGUGCAGGCCAAACUAGUGCAUCUCCUCCAGCAGAAUGAGAUCGUGCGCUGUUGCGCCUACGAAUUGGCAGUGGUGCUGGCCAAGGAGAGUGCCGCCUCGCUCAGUGCUGUCAAAUUCAUUCUGGACGCUGCACUCAGCGAACUGGACAACGAUGAUGUUUUAUUGCAGGCCUGCGUCAUGGACCUCCUAGGGCCACUUGCUGAACAGAACCAUGGACUCUCCUACAUGGAACGGCGUCGUGUUUUGGAUAUAAUCAGCACACGGGUCCAACGCGUCGAGGAGCAUCCGUUAGACGCCCUGCUCAUACCCAGCAUUAUGAAGUUUUUCGGCAAAAUUGCCGCAUACCAGCCUCUGAAGAUCAUUGCCGGCUACCCGCACAUGCUCGCCUGUUUGUUCCAGCAGCUGCAGUCGGAGGAUGAGAGUAUUCUGCCCACCGCCAUGGAUACGCUGGCCAAUUUGGCCAGUACUCCGCAGGGUAAGAUGCUCCUGCACCUGCACUUCAACGCGGCCAUGGAGGAGUCCUUUAAGAUAUAUGGCUCGUACACUAAGAAGCUAUCGGCGCCCAUCAAGGAGCGGCUGCUCAACUCGCUGGAUGUGAUUUAUGAGGUGGAGACACCGCCCACCAAAGAACUCAAUACCAUUCUUAAAAGCUGGUACGAGUGCUUCGCUGGGGGAGCGCAUGCCAAUGUUUUUAUGGACCUGAUCAACACCCCGUUCCCUGACCUCCAAAUGGCCGCCUUGGCGCUGUUGAAGACCAUUUGCAAGUACGGCUGGGGCAUUGUAGCUCUUAAGAAUACCGGCGGUGCUGUGGAGUUCUUGCUGUCGCGUCAAAGGGAUCUGCACAGGUGCAUUAAGUAUAUCAAGUGGCAAAUCAUGGAGAUUCUGUCCGCCAGCGCCGAGUUCUCGCCCACCGAAACCGUCCGUUUUACGGCCUACGUGAACGAGGGACCCUAUCACGUCCAGGCGGACCUCGAUAUAGCCACCGAACCGCAGGGCAACGCCUAGAGGUCGGUAUGCCAAGCAUUUGCGGCCUUUGAUUCUAAAUCGUAUGUACAGCGACAGGUUCAAUUAACAUCUGAAUAUGUAUUUAUAGAAUUACAAUAAGAUUUAACUAUUAGAUCACAUGUAACAAUGCCCCAUUGGGCAGGUCGAAUUAAUGGGGAUGCAACAAAUAGUCAGAAUAUUCUUUGGACAAUUAAAGGAUUGAAUACCUUCCAAGGGCAAAGUAAAUCAUAUGCAAUAAAGAAACUUAAAUACAA
Molecule: RNA transcript, 1843 nt
Organism: Drosophila teissieri
Lineage: Eukaryota; Metazoa; Arthropoda; Insecta; Diptera; Drosophilidae
Gene name: 26S proteasome non-ATPase regulatory subunit 5
Exons: 3
Source: RefSeq, a predicted model, not a curated record